This 433-nucleotide ribosomal RNA is filed under the name uncultured bacterium. RNAcentral's name for it is "partial 16S ribosomal RNA". It matches the Rfam family "Bacterial small subunit ribosomal RNA", at positions 29 to 507 of the family's 1533-position model. The record is from RNAcentral.
AACGAACGCUGGCGGCAUGCCUAACACAUGCAAGUCGAACGAGACCUUCGGGUCUAGUGGCGCACGGGUGCGUAACGCAUGGGAACCUGCCCUUAGGUUCGGAAUAACUCCCCGAAAGGGGUGCUAAUACCGGAUAAUGUCUUCGGACCAAAGAUUUAUCGCCUUUGGAUGGGCCCGCGUUGGAUUAGCUAGUUGGUAGGGUAAAAGCCUACCAAGGCGACGAUCCAUAGCUGGUCUGAGAGGAUGAUCAGCCACACUGGGACUGAGACACGGCCCAGACUCCUACGGGAGGCAGCAGUGGGGAAUAUUGGACAAUGGGCGAAAGCCUGAUCCAGCAAUGCCGCGUGAGUGAUGAAGGCCUUAGGGUUGUAAAGCUCUUUUACCCGGGAUGAUAAUGACAGUACCGGGAGAUUAAGCUCCGGCUAACUCCGUG